Molecule: ribosomal RNA, 539 nt
Filed under: Rhopaloeides odorabile
Lineage: Eukaryota; Metazoa; Porifera; Demospongiae; Dictyoceratida; Spongiidae
Description: eukaryotic LSU rRNA
Rfam family: Eukaryotic large subunit ribosomal RNA
Source: RNAcentral
AACCAGAAGGCGCAAUGAAAGUGAAGGCACGGUCGCCGUGCCGAGGUGAGAGCUGUCCUCGGCAGCGCAUCAUCGACCGAUCCCAUCCGCUCCCCCGUGGUGCGGCGGGAUUCGAGUGAGAGUGUACCUGUUGCGACCCGAAAGAUGGUGAACUAUGCCUGAAUAGGGUGAAGCCAGAGGAAACUCUGGUGGAGGCCCGUAGCGAUUCUGACGUGCAAAUCGAUCGUCAAAUUUGGGUAUAGGGGCGAAAGACUAAUCGAACCAUCUAGUAGCUGGUUCCCUCCGAAGUUUCCCUCAGGAUAGCUGUAGCCCGAAGCAGUUUUAUCAGGUAAAGCGAAUGAUUAGAGGUAUCGGGGAAGAAACUUCCUCGACCUAUUCUCAAACUUUAAAUAGGUAAGAAGUCCGACUUGCUCAAUUUGAAGCCGGACACAGAAUGCUGGGUUACUAGUGGGCCAUUUUUGGUAAGCAGAACUGGCGAUGCGGGAUGAACCGAACGCCGAGUUAAGGUGCCAAAGUCGACGCUCAUCAGAUCCCACAAA